Cyprinus carpio (common carp) is the source of this 3688-nucleotide long non-coding RNA. RefSeq lists it as uncharacterized. The record is from RefSeq and is a predicted model, not a curated record. The transcript has 2 exons. Lineage: Eukaryota; Metazoa; Chordata; Actinopteri; Cypriniformes; Cyprinidae.
GUUAAUUUUUAUACUGAUUUAUUUGAUAUCAGUUUUUCACCGGUUACUUUAAAAUGUGUUUGUAAACACAAAGGUUUCUACUUUCGUGUAUUUUUAAAUAUUCAUUUGAAACUGGAUUGAUAGCAGUUAUACAGUUUUCAAGCGCACUGCAAAUGUCUUAAAAUUAGUUAAUUGUAUCUACUUCGUCUGUAGGUUAGUUUUAAUUUCCUCAUUUGUCACGUGAGAAACUUUGUAUUUUAGUUUUUAUAGCCUCGGGGUCAGGUUGGUUGCUAAAUCUAAAAUGGCAUGCCUGAAUACAUUUUAUCUUCAUAUAUCAUUCUCUUUUGGGACAUAAAAUAACCUAUCUACAGUUUAUGUUUGGCCGAAGAGAGGUGCAGCAUUGGGCUGACAGAUUGGGGGUCACAGAGUCAUUCAUGGGCAAGUCAAUAUGCAAAAGGAAGAGCAUCUUCUGGCUUGUAACAUUCCUCUGACAGUGUGCAGGAAGUUAUACCACACAUAAGGCAUGUCAACUGAUUUUCAUCAAAAAAGGAAACAGCAGUUGCACAUGGGUCACAUUCUUAUGAAGGUAGUUUUAUUCUGUGAGCGACAAGAGGAUGAUGAGAAUGUUAUGAACCAGAGAUUAAGAUAUACUAACAGGGAAGGAUUUAGUAUUUGCUUUGUUAAUAGAUUAAAAUAAUCACUUGUUUAUUUUUUUAUUACAAUUAUUAUUAUUUUUAAUUUCUUUGUUUUAAGGCAAGAAAACAAAAAAGUGUGUGAUGUGUCCAAGUUUAUAAGCUGUGUGGGUGACACUUGUUGCAGGAUAUAAGUCCUAACUUGUGAGUCCUUUAAUUGUAUAUAAAUAAUAUUUAAAAAAAUGUCUGGGUCUGAUGUUAAUGAAGCCAUUAUUUAAACUUUACUGAUGGGCCUGUUGUGGUAUGGAAGUCAAAAAAAAUAUGUUUGAAAACAUUGGCUUAGACAACUGGGCACAUCGUUAGAGUGUAAACAUUUGGGCUGUUACUAGUGAACAAACCAUGUUUCCCAGCGGUGCAAGGAAUACAACUAUCUUUCAUUGUGAGAUACAAAGUCUAGUCAUGCAGUCAAAAUGGCAUCUUUUAGUCUGGUUUAUUAUUUAGUCCUUUAUUGCUUUAGACUCAAAUAUGUCAAGACUAGUUUGCUUUCUGUUAAGAUUUGUAACCAUAAACACAAACAAACAUUUUAGGUGAUUCUAGAGUAUAUGCAGACCUGCAGAUAGUGAUGAUUCAAGAUGGAGGAUGUGAUGGCUCUGAAACAUUGUGACAGAACUGGAAAAUAAAAGUGAUGCUGAUAAACUACAGAUCUGGAAGCAGAGGGGACAUAGGCUGAAGGUUCAAAGUGUUGACAUGAUGUAAUUCAUGAUUGACAUGUAUCAAAAUGCACUGUUUAUGCAUUGUUUUUUGGCCAAGUUAAGUGCAACAUCUAACAUGGCGACUGGCAGCAGGGGAGAGGUGCUUUCGCUUUGAGGAUAUCCUGUUAAAACCCUGUGCACAGUUCUCCAUUUUGAAGCUGCUAACUUCCUCUUGCAUUUGAUGCCAUGACCCAGCUUCUUAAGUUCCUUAUAUUGCUCAAAGAUUAACGGGGUGAAUAUACCUCCUUUUACACACUGACAGAACAUAUUGUCCAAAAAAUGAAAAUGUCGUUAUUAUUUACUUAUUCACCCAUUAAUUAAAUUUGAAAAUAUAUUUUUAACACAGUGAUAAUUCAACAUGACCACAACCUAUCCAGCUGCAGCAAAAGCAUCAUUUAAAACCACAAUAAUUUAGUCCACAUUAAUUGUGCGCUAGGUUUGCUCUCAUUAUGUUUGCUUAUGACACUGGAGAACAAAGGUGAAUAUUAUCAGAGACAACAACUUCAAUCUGGUUUAUUCCUCACACAGAUCUAUUGUAUGCCUUCUGAAUGCUUUACAUCUAGUGUAAUAUAAUGCUUUAAUAGACAGCCAGUGGUCACUGUGAGCUGUCAUUGUAUGGAAAAGAUUUAUGUGAAGAUUCUUAAAUUAUUUAGUGUGUGUCCCACUUCUUUACUAGUCAUGCUCCACUACUGAUAAAUAUUAAAAACCUCUAGAACUCAAACUUACUAAAUGGUUAUGUAUAUCAUAAAUGGUCACACUAUACUUUUUAAUCCAUUGACUUCCAUUCAUAUGGAAAUGCAGCUAUUGGAAAUGCAAUUCAUGUGAAUUCGCUACGUACCAGAUUUUGGUGAACGCUGAGCUGUGAAUUGUGUCACGUGAAGAUGUGUGACUGAUAAAAGAUUGAUGUGACACGGUGUGACCCCUUAGCUGAAUUACAAGUACUUAAACGCAAAAGCUGCAGUGUAGAAAGUAAUGUGGAGUAGAUUGUAUUUUUUUAUAUUUUGUAUUUAAUAUUAUUUGUGAUGUGUUGAUUGUAUGUCUUUGAGAAGGAUGCCAUAGUGUGACAUCAUAUCACAACCUUUGCAGUGUCAAAAAAAUAUGGCAUGCACAGUGCAUGUCCAGUGUGUCUAUAGAAUCAGUCCUGUUAUAUAAAAUAUUCACAUGAUUGUGUAUCAUGCACAUGUCUUGGGUGUGUUUAGAACUUUAACUGUAAAUCAAUUUCAGAUAACUGAGUGAACAAAGGUAAACAAAAACAAAUCAAAGUAUGUCAGGGCAAUAAUUCAACAAUUUAUUUUCAAUUCAACAAAACCAAAUGUGACCCCCAAUUUUUUUUUUCAUAUUUAUAUGUGUUCUUAUUUGUUCAUGCAUGUGCCAACACUUACCCUGUAGCACCUUGAUUUUUUUUUUUCUUCCUUUUUUGUUUUGUUUUUAACCCUGAUGCUAUCACACACUGAGUUCUCUGAAUUGUCAUGACUUCCAGGUGGGCAUUUUAUAUGUUCCUGACACAAAUGACUAUCUUCUGAGUAUCAGUUUCUGUAUAAGCUCUUGCUUUCUGCUGAAAACAGCUCUGCUUAAACACGAGGCCCUUCAGUUUUAUACGAUCAGCUCAAGAACAAGAACAAGCCUUUUACACACGAAUAGCUACAACAAUGUUUUUUGCUCAUGUUUAAUCAAAGAGAGAAAGAGCAUGAAGAAGUUUAAGCAACCAAGGGCACAUUUUCAAAGACACACUUCAAAAAGAGGCUUGCUGUCUCUCUUCCUGGCUGACACCGCCCAACUUCCUGUCAUCCUUUCACGACAAUGCCAGGCACCAUACUGAGUUUUCUCUUGUGCUUUUUCUCUCUGAAUCUAUCUCUCUCCCUGUAUCUAUAUCUGAUUCAAAACUUCAAAGAGAUUCGGAAAGAACCUCUUAACAGUGAUCUCCCACUGUUUUCUAAUUAUGUUUUCAGCACACUGCCUCCAGUGUGUCCUGAAAUUUGUAUAGAUUAAAAUGUAUUCAAGUAUUCUUAGUGGUGAAGGCAUUUUUGAUUUCCACAGUGGCUCUAGACACAGACUCAGUUCUGUUAAUAUUACAUUAUUUCGUCAUGGCUUGUCAAAAUGGAUUACAGAAAUUUUGCAGUGCAUUUAGUGCACAAUACAUCAGAGCCCAGCCCUUCAGUCAAGUGCACACAAGUCUGGAUAAACCAAACGACAUGUGGUUAUUACCAUGUGUGUCUAUGUAUGUUUUUCCAUGUGUUUUUUUUUUUUUUAAUGCAAAUGAGAGCAAGAUAGAGAAAUCAAGCAGUGAGUGUAAUAAAGAAAGCAAAUAGUUCUGAUGUGACUGAA